Molecule: ribosomal RNA, 635 nt
Filed under: uncultured marine bacterium
Lineage: Bacteria
Description: bacterial SSU rRNA
Rfam family: Bacterial small subunit ribosomal RNA
Source: RNAcentral
AGAGUUUGAUCCUGGCUCAGGAUGAACGCUGGCGGCGUGCCUAAUACAUGCAAGUCGAGCGAACUGAUUAGAAGCUUGCUUCUAUGACGUUAGCGGCGGACGGGUGAAUAACACGUGGGCAACCUGCCUGUAAGACUGGGAUAACUUCGGGAAACCGAAGCUAAUACCGGAUAGGAUCUUCUCCUUCAUGGGAGAUGAUUGAAAGAUGGUUUCGGCUAUCACUUACAGAUGGGCCCGCGGUGCAUUAGCUAGUUGGUGAGGUAACGGCUCACCAAGGCAACGAUGCAUAGCCGACCUGAUAGGGUGAUCGGCCACACUGGGACUGAGACACGGCCCAGACUCCUACGGGAGGCAGCAGUAGGGAAUCUUCCGCAAAGGACGAAAGUCUGACGGAGCAACGCCGCGUGAGUGAUGAAGGCUUUCGGGUCGUAAAACUCUGUUGUUAGGGAAGAACAAGUACGAGAGUAACUGCUCGUACCUUGACGGUACCUAACCAGAAAGCCACGGCUAACUACGUGCCAGCAGCCGCGGUAAUACGUAGGUGGCAAGCGUUAUCCGGAAUUAUUGGGCGUAAAGCGCGCGCAGGCGGUUUCUUAAGUCUGAUGUGAAAGCCCACGGGCUCAACCCGUGGAGGG